This is a long non-coding RNA of Maniola jurtina (meadow brown), 158 nucleotides long. RefSeq lists it as uncharacterized. The record is from RefSeq and is a predicted model, not a curated record. The transcript is spliced from 3 exons. NCBI's taxonomy places the organism in Eukaryota, Metazoa, Arthropoda, Insecta, Lepidoptera, Nymphalidae.
CCAAAGGUGCGUAAACGACGCUACAGUAUCUAUGUGUCGUCCCUGCGCAUGAAAAUUCCACUAUGUGGAAAAUCAUAAGUUUUCGGUAGACACUUUUAAACUUAAAUGUUUUGAAACAUUAUGCUCUACUUUUAGAUGAAAAUCUAGAUUAGCUAAAA